UACCGAGGGUGGGGAGGAGAAUAAUGCUGCCUAUUAUCCACCAUAGGCCACCACCAUUUUCCACGAAGAACAACUUGCCGACCGAUGUCAUCUAGUUGCCAAUACAACUAUUCGGCUUAAUUUGGACCUAGAAAGGAUAGCUGAAAAUUUGAAGAUUCUCUUGAUUUAUUCUGAAACUGUGAGUUGGCAGCAGGGCCAGCACCAUCCCUCUACCUCGUAUGGUUUGGGAUUACCUGUUGCAAACCAGGAAGCAAGGAUAUUCACAACAGAUUGAUAGAAAAUGAAUUUAUAAAUUAAACUGUAGAAUUUAUUAUUAAAUUUUAGUUUUUUU
Molecule: long non-coding RNA, 331 nt
Organism: Macrobrachium nipponense
Lineage: Eukaryota; Metazoa; Arthropoda; Malacostraca; Decapoda; Palaemonidae
Exons: 2
Source: RefSeq, a predicted model, not a curated record